RNAcentral lists this ribosomal RNA (441 nucleotides) under uncultured bacterium. RNAcentral describes it as "bacterial SSU rRNA". It matches the Rfam family "Bacterial small subunit ribosomal RNA", at positions 338 to 795 of the family's 1533-position model. The record is from RNAcentral.
CCUACGGGCGGCAGCAGUGAGGAAUUUUCGUCAAUGGGGGAAACCCUGAACGAGCAACGCCGCGUGCAGGAAGAAGGUUUUCGGAUCGUAAACUGCUUUUCUGUGGGAAGAGAACGGACGGUACCACAGGAAGAAGCCCCGGCUAACUACGUGCCAGCAGCCGCGGUAAUACGUAGGGGGCAAGCGUUGUCCGGAUUUAUUGGGCGUAAAGCGCACGCAGGCGGUCUGCUAAGUUCAUGAUGACAGCUCCUGGCUUAACUGGGAGAGGCCUGUGAAAACUGACAGACUUGAGGGCUUGAGAGGGAUGCGGAAUUCCGGGUGGAGUGGUGAAAUACGUAGAUAUCCGGAGGAACACCAAAGGCGAAGGCAGCAUCCUGGGAAGUACCUGACGCUCAUGUGCGAAAGCCAGGGGAGCGAACGGGAUUAGAUACCCCGGUAGUC